Molecule: ribosomal RNA, 889 nt
Filed under: Pediococcus pentosaceus
Lineage: Bacteria; Bacillati; Bacillota; Bacilli; Lactobacillales; Lactobacillaceae
Description: bacterial SSU rRNA
Rfam family: Bacterial small subunit ribosomal RNA
Source: RNAcentral
CUAUACAUGCAGUCGAACGAACUUCCGUUAAUUGAUUAUGACGUACUUGUACUGAUUGAGAUUUUAACACGAAGUGAGUGGCGAACGGGUGAGUAACACGUGGGUAACCUGCCCAGAAGUAGGGGAUAACACCUGGAAACAGAUGCUAAUACCGUAUAACAGAGAAAACCGCAUGGUUUUCUUUUAAAAGAUGGCUCUGCUAUCACUUCUGGAUGGACCCGCGGCGUAUUAGCUAGUUGGUGAGGUAAAGGCUCACCAAGGCAGUGAUACGUAGCCGACCUGAGAGGGUAAUCGGCCACAUUGGGACUGAGACACGGCCCAGACUCCUACGGGAGGCAGCAGUAGGGAAUCUUCCACAAUGGACGCAAGUCUGAUGGAGCAACGCCGCGUGAGUGAAGAAGGGUUUCGGCUCGUAAAGCUCUGUUGUUAAAGAAGAACGUGGGUAAGAGUAACUGUUUACCCAGUGACGGUAUUUAACCAGAAAGCCACGGCUAACUACGUGCCAGCAGCCGCGGUAAUACGUAGGUGGCAAGCGUUAUCCGGAUUUAUUGGGCGUAAAGCGAGCGCAGGCGGUCUUUUAAGUCUAAUGUGAAAGCCUUCGGCUCAACCGAAGAAGUGCAUUGGAAACUGGGAGACUUGAGUGCAGAAGAGGACAGUGGAACUCCCAUGUGUAGCGGUGAAAUGCGUAGAUAUAUGGAAGAACACCAGUGGCGAAGGCGGCUGUCUGGUCUGCAACUGACGCUGAGGCUCGAAAGCAUGGGUAGCGAACAGGAUUAGAUACUCUGGUAGUCCAUGCCGUAAACGAUGAUUACUAAGUGUUGGAGGGUUUCCGCCCUUCAGUGCUGCAGCUAACGCAUUAAGUAAUCCGCCUGGGGGAGUACGACGCAAG